GCGGGUAUAGCUCAGAGGUAGAGCACAUGCUUAGCAUGCAGGAGGUCCUGGGUUCAAUCUCCAGUAACUCCA
Molecule: transfer RNA, 72 nt
Filed under: Camelus bactrianus (Bactrian camel)
Lineage: Eukaryota; Metazoa; Chordata; Mammalia; Artiodactyla; Camelidae
Also listed under: 2 other names
Rfam family: tRNA
About the family: Transfer RNA (tRNA) molecules are approximately 80 nucleotides in length.
Source: Rfam by way of RNAcentral